GACGAACGCUGGCGGCGUGCUUAACACAUGCAAGUCGAACGGUGAAGCGCCUUCCUUUUUGGUGGGUGUGGAUGAGUGGCGAACGGGUGAGUAACACGUGAGUAACCUGCCCCCUUCUUCUGGAUAACCGCAUGAAAGUGUGGCUAAUACGGGAUAUUCUGGGUCUGUCGCAUGAUGGGUCUGGGAAAGAUAUUGUUUCGGUGGGGGAUGGGCUCGCGGCCUAUCAGCUUGUUGGUGGGGUGAUGGCCUACCAAGGCGGUGACGGGUAGCCGGCCUGAGAGGGUGGACGGUCACACUGGGACUGAGACACGGCCCAGACUCCUACGGGAGGAAGCAGUGGGGAAUAUUGCACAAUGGGCGCAAGCCUGAUGCAGCGACGCCGCGUGAGGGAUGGAGGCCUUCGGGUUGUGAACCUCUUUCGCCAGUGAAGCAGGCCUGCCUCGUUUGUGGGUGGGUUGACGGUAGCUGGAGAAGAAGCGCCGGCUAACUACGUG
RNAcentral lists this ribosomal RNA (494 nucleotides) under uncultured bacterium. Its description in RNAcentral is "partial 16S ribosomal RNA". It matches the Rfam family "Bacterial small subunit ribosomal RNA", at positions 28 to 507 of the family's 1533-position model. The record is from RNAcentral.